RNAcentral lists this unclassified non-coding RNA (387 nucleotides) under uncultured Russulaceae. RNAcentral's name for it is "sequence contains ITS1". The stretch from base 1 to 103 matches the Rfam family "5.8S ribosomal RNA", at positions 50 to 154 of the family's 154-position model. The record is from RNAcentral. Lineage: Eukaryota; Fungi; Basidiomycota; Agaricomycetes; Russulales; Russulaceae.
GAAAUGCGAUACGUAAUGUGAAUUGCAGAAUUCAGUGAAUCAUCAAAAUCUUGAACGCACCUUGCGCCUUGAGGUCACUCAAGGCAUGCCUGUUUCAGGGUCAGUUUAUUAAACUCCGCAAAAAUACUUGUGGGAUGUGGCAGUCGCAGGACUAGUGCCUCCGUCUGCUGAAAGAGAUGAGCUCACCAGCAUACCGAGCAGUUAACUGCGCACGGCUGGGCAUCGAUGAGUUUUGAACGCGGCAUAGCCCGUACAUAUCUCAUCAACCCAGUUGCUAGCGGUAAACCUCUUGUUGGUAGGCGGUCGACCAAGUGCUACCAGCUAGCACCGACACUUCCAUAUUUCACCUUUGACCUGAAAUCAGGUAAGGCAACCCGCUGAAUUUAA